This 483-nucleotide ribosomal RNA is filed under the name uncultured bacterium. RNAcentral's name for it is "bacterial SSU rRNA". It matches the Rfam family "Bacterial small subunit ribosomal RNA", at positions 328 to 803 of the family's 1533-position model. The record is from RNAcentral.
GAAUUCAACUCCUACGGGAGGCAGCAGUGGGGAAUUUUGGACAAUGGGCGCAAGCCUGAUCCAGCAAUGCCGCGUGAGUGAAGAAGGCCUUCGGGUUGUAAAGCUCUUUUGUCAGGGAAGAAACGGCUGUGGCUAAUAUCCAUGGCUAAUGACGGUACCUGAAGAAUAAGCACCGGCUAUCUACGUGCCAGCAGCCGCGGUAAUACGUAGGGUGCAAGCGUUAAUCGGAAUUACUGGGCGUAAAGCGUGCGCAGGCGGUUUUGUAAGUCUGACGUGAAAUCCCCGGGCUCAACCUGGGAAUUGCGUUGGAGACUGCAAGGCUGGAGUCUGGCAGAGGGGGGUAGAAUUCCACGUGUAGCAGUGAAAUGCGUAGAGAUGUGGAGGAACACCGAUGGCGAAGGCAGCCCCCUGGGUCAAGACUGACGCUCAUGCACGAAAGCGUGGGGAGCAAACAGGAUUAGAAACCCUUGUAGUCCAGGCGUU